RNAcentral lists this ribosomal RNA (275 nucleotides) under uncultured bacterium. Its description in RNAcentral is "partial 16S ribosomal RNA". It matches the Rfam family "Bacterial small subunit ribosomal RNA", at positions 399 to 691 of the family's 1533-position model. The record is from RNAcentral.
GCGUGAGUGAAGAAGGUCUUCGGAUUGUAAAGCACUUUCGGCGGGGACGAUGAUGACGGUACCCGCAGAAGAAGCCCCGGCUAACUUCGUGCCAGCAGCCGCGGUAAUACGAAGGGGGCUAGCGUUGCUCGGAAUUACUGGGCGUAAAGGGCGCGUAGGCGGCCUUGUCAGUCAGGCGUGAAAUUCCUGGGCUUAACCUGGGGGCUGCGCUUGAUACGGCAGGGCUAGAGGUCAGAAGAGGGUCGUGGAAUUCCCAGUGUAGAGGUGAAAUUCGU